Molecule: long non-coding RNA, 1660 nt
Organism: Dermacentor silvarum
Lineage: Eukaryota; Metazoa; Arthropoda; Arachnida; Ixodida; Ixodidae
Exons: 3
Source: RefSeq, a predicted model, not a curated record
UAACGUAUAUACCAAGAAAACACGGAUAAGUAAGCCUCCGUUAAUCGCAACUUCUGCCUAAUGCUUAUUAAAACGUUUUGUGUAUAUACAGUGCGCGCAACGCAAGAAGUUUAAAUUCCAUGAAGUUUAAUCAUUCCAAGCCGGAAUGUUGUACCUUUUUUUCCUGGUUCGCACAUACAAAGGAAAAAGAACAAGAAAAAGAAAAAUGAUACAAUGUUCCUUUAUAGAUGAAAGAAACCGAAACGCUGGGUUGGGGUCUCCUGUUUUUCUGCCGAGGAGCAAAGAGCUAAGAGAAGCGAAUUCGCUAACAAUACCUGCGAAGCGUCAGACGAAACCGCGAACAGCAGCGCCUCGGGAAGAACGAGCACAUAAAGGCAGACGCAGACGCAAGUUUCUACACGGGAAAUACAAGGGUCUGUCAGGGGACAAUGGCUUCGGCUGCAUCUGUAGUCUCAACAAUGUCUCGCGCUCUUUUCUUUAGUUUUUAACUUUCUGAGGCCGCGAGCCUCCAUCUUGCAUUAUUUCGCUGAUAAACAUGACGUGCGUCAUUAGAAGCCUAUGCGCGAUGUUGCAAGUUCGCAGAGCAUAAAAACGGCACCUGCUGAGCGCUGUUUGCUAUGAAGUUUUGACGCAGUAAUAUCGUAUGGCGCGCCUAUAGAACGACCUUUAUUGUUGCAGAACAGCAGCGUGAAGACGGGGGAUCCGGCGAAGCUGAAGUACACCGUACAGCUGUGUCCUGAAUGUCUGGUCUUCUCGCUGUCGCUUUGUCAUAGUAACAGUCAUUCCAGGCCCACUAUAGGUGGUAUUCCUGCGUCAAAACGUACACGUGGGAGCGAGAAUGCAGGAUAUACAGGACACAGCCGUCCGGUGUCAUUAAGCUGUGUCCCGUCUUCGCGUUGUUGGUUCGCCAUGACGCGCGUACAUUGACCUUUAGGACACAAGGUUUCAUCCUUUGUUUUGUAUUGCUGUGACAUGAAAAUUGACAUCCUGGUUCCGGAUUGCGCCUGCGUAAUACCGUGCGGCGCAGAAGAUGAAAACUGACCCGGAUAUUCACCAAUUGGCAUUACGAAACCCCUUUAAUUAACGAUGCGAACAUGGUGUAUAAGUGUCCAUGAAGCGGUGCAUCUCCCCACUGUUCUUCUAGCUCGCGCUCUCCAUCCUCGGAGAGAGGGGAAGAACAAACAACGAAAAAACGAGAUAACAAACAACAUCCAAAAACAAACGAGUGUCCACGGUUUCAUACGCCAUCGCGAACCUUUUGUUGCUUUUGGAGCAACAAAGGAACGAGGCAUUUCCUCCUAACGCGUCAAGAACAAAAAAGUACUACAAAAGGCGCGGAAUCGCAAGUGCUCCGGAAAUAACUGCGACUCUCCCGUCUCCCACGGUCGAAGAGACACGUGGCAGAGGGCAAGCGGAUCUUCGUUGCGUGGUUGCGUUCCCUUUCUCACAGAGCCAUGUCCGUGCACAACCAUCGCCUCUCGCAGGAGGAUGCCGCGAAGGACCCUUACAUCCCGGCUUUCGCUUGGCGACAGCCACGCACGCCAUGUUCUCACUAAAUAUCGGUGCAGCGUUACAAGAAGCUUAAAGCUGAACUAGUUGGUACACCUCGCUGGAAUACACGAAAUUUAAAGUGUACAUCAUGACAUGGGACGAGCCAUAA